GAGAUGGGAAACCCCAGCGCCGUGCCCGCCAGCCACUGCCUCCGAGACUCCGGGGACGUCGUGAAGGAAAUGUCCACUGAACUCCGUUCCUGAAGCUAUUUCCUAGUCACUCCCACAAAACGCCAUGCUUUACUCCGCCACUUUUCAGGGCUUUAUCAGAACCACCGCUUCUGCUUCAACGGCCAUGGCCCUCAGGGGUCCCCUUUUCCUCUUACCCCACAGAGCUCGAAGGCUCUCCCUUCUCUCCUUUUCCUUGAGAAUUCCUGCACUUAGCUUGAGACAUUUUCAUGUGGCCCAAAAGAUAAGGUCUCCAAUAGGGGCUUUAGGCUCCGUUGCGCCUUCCAGGACGACUGAGGUGGAUUGGAAGGAGAGUCAAGGUGUGGGCUUUAGGCGGAGGAGCAUUGCUUUGCCGUUUUGGCAUCAGCAGAGCUCCAGCUAUGGUCGUUUUGCUUACCAGGAUGUGUCUAGUGAUGAUCCUGAUAUGGAGUUGGGGUCUCCUCAGCAACAAAUGGGCGGCUCAUCCCUUGAUAACAUUGAUGAGUGGAGAUGGAAGCUGACCAUGCUUCUUCGCAACAAGGAUGAGCGAGAAGUGAUUUCAAGGGAGAAAAAGGAUAGACGUGAUUUUGAGCAUCUCUCAGCUUUAGCAACUAGGAUGGGUUUAUAUAGCCAACAAUAUGCAAAAGUAGUUGUCUUUAGCAAGGAACCUCUGCCAAAUUACAGACCUGAUCUGGAUGAUAAGCGUCCACAGAGGGAGGUUGUCAUACCUUUUCGUGUCCAUAAAGAAGCAGAUUCUCUUCUCAAUGCUUAUGUUUCUAAAAAGUCUACAAGCUUUGGAGGCUUUUUUGAUGCAUCCUUGCAUAGAUCAAGCAGUGCUGGCAUUCCUGCAGAUGAAGGAAUUCUCAAGGAGCCAGAGCCCUUGGCACAGAAUAGUGUUGUCAGGGAGAAAAUCUUUCUACGAAAAAGUUUGCAACUGCGUAAUCAACAAGAAGAUUGGCAGGAGUCUCCUGAAGGACAAAAGAUGCUUGGAUUUCGUAGAACUCUUCCUGCAUUCAAAGCAAAGGAUGAAUUAUUGAAAGCCAUUUCAGAGAACCAGGUUGUUGUGGUCUCAGGUGAAACUGGUUGUGGUAAGACCACACAACUUCCACAAUAUAUAUUAGAGUCUGAGAUUGAAGCUGCACGUGGUGCUGCCUGUAGCAUAAUUUGUACUCAGCCUAGAAGAAUAUCUGCAAUGUCUGUUUCUGAAAGAGUUGCAGCAGAGCGUGGGGAAAAAUUGGGAGAAUCUGUUGGUUACAAGGUUCGGCUGGAGGGUAUGAAAGGAAGGGAUACUCGUCUUCUUUUUUGCACUACAGGUGUAUUGUUGAGGAGACUGCUUGUGGACCGAAAUCUAAAAGGUGUGACUCAUGUUGUUGUUGAUGAGAUUCAUGAGCGUGGAAUGAAUGAAGAUUUUCUCCUUGUUGUGCUGAAGGAUCUUCUCCCACGCCGUCCAGACCUUAGGUUAAUUUUGAUGAGUGCAACCUUAAACGCCGAGCUUUUUUCUUCCUACUUUGGUGGGGCUCCAACUUUACAUAUACCUGGUUUUACGUAUCCAGUUCAAGCACAUUUUCUUGAGGAUAUUCUGGAGAUGACUCAAUAUCGGUUGACACCUUAUAAUCAAAUUGAUGAUUAUGGUCAAGAGAAGACAUGGAAAAUGCAGAAACAGGUUCAAGCUUUGAAAAAAAGGAAGACACAGAUUGCUUCUGUCGUUGAGGAUGCACUUGAAGCUGCUGAUUUCAAGGAAUACAGCUUACGCACCCAGGAGUCACUAUCCUAUUGGAGUCCUGAUUCAAUUGGUUUUAACCUUAUUGAACAUGUUCUUUGCCACAUUGUCAAGAAUGAAAAGCCAGGUGCUAUUUUGGUUUUUAUGACUGGUUGGGAUGACAUAAAUUGUUUGAAGGAUCAGCUCCAAGCUCAUCCUCUUUUGGGUGACCCAAGCAAAGUAUUGCUUCUUGCAUGCCACGGCUCCAUGGCCAGCUCUGAGCAGAGGUUGAUAUUUGAAAAUCCUGAAGGAGGAGUGAGGAAAAUAGUUCUUGCCACCAAUAUGGCUGAGACUAGUAUUACCAUAAAUGAUGUUGUCUUUGUGAUUGAUUGUGGGAAAGCAAAAGAGACAUCUUAUGAUGCACUAAACAAUACUCCUUGUUUACUUCCAUCUUGGAUCUCAAAGGCUGCUGCUCGGCAGAGAAGAGGAAGGGCAGGUCGUGUUCAACCAGGCGAAUGUUACCAUCUUUAUCCGAGAUGCGUUUAUGAUACUUUUGCUGAUUAUCAAUUGCCAGAGCUUUUAAGAACACCUUUACAGUCCCUAUGUCUUCAAAUCAAAAGUCUAAACCUUGGAAGCAUUUCAGAAUUCCUAUCCAGAGCUCUGCAACCACCAGAACCUCUGUCGGUUCAAAACGCUGUUGAAUAUUUGAAGACUAUUGGGGCCUUGGACGAAGAUGAAAAUCUGACAGUUUUAGGUCGUAACUUGUCAAUGCUCCCUGUAGAGCCUAAACUUGGCAAGAUGCUUAUCUUAGGAGCUAUCUUCAACUGUUUAGAUCCCAUAAUGACUGUUGCUGCUGGUCUUAGUGUAAGGGAUCCAUUUAUGACGCCAUUUGACAAGAAGGACCUUGCAGAGUCUGCCAAGGCCCAGUUUGCUGCUGGUGCCUAUAGUGAUCAUCUUGCACUUGUUCGGGCUUAUGAGGGUUGGAGCAAUGCAGAAGCACAGAAAGAAGGUUAUGAGUACUGUUGGAGAAAUUUCCUUUCUUCACAAACACUUAGAGCUAUUGACUCUCUUCGAAAGCAAUUUUUUUACUUGCUCAAAGAUAUAGGUUUGGUUGAUCAUAAUACUGACUAUUGCAAUGCAUGGAGUCAUGAUGAGCAUCUGGUCCGAGCGGUAAUUUCAGCUGGUUUGUUUCCUGGAGUAUGCUCUGUUGUGAACAAAGAGAAGUCAAUAGCAUUGAAAACAAUGGAGGACGGUCAAGUUCUUCUGUAUGCAAACUCUGUAAAUGGCGCUGUACCCAAAAUUCCUUUCCCGUGGCUGGUAUUCAAUGAAAAGGUGAAGGUGAAUUCAGUAUUCAUCCGGGAUUCAACCGGUAUAUCUGAUUCAAUGCUGCUCUUAUUUGGUGGGAAUGUUUCCAGAGGUGGACUGGAUGGUCACCUGAAAAUGCUGGGGGGGUAUUUGGAAUUUUUCAUGAAUCCUGCAUUAGCUGAGACUUACUUGAGCCUGAAGAAGGAGCUGGAGGAAUUAAUACAUAGAAAACUUCUGGAUCCCAAGUUGGAUAUACAAUCAUGUGAUGGGCUUCUUUCAGCUGUCAGAUUGCUGGUAUCGGAGGACCAGUGUAGUGGAAAAUUCGUCUUUGGUAGUCGGGUGCUAUCACCAUCAAAUAAGGCAAAAGAUUCGAAAAGUGUUUCUAUCGAGUGCAGUAACUAUAAAAACCAGCUGCAAACGUUGCUUGCCAGGGCUAGACAUGAACCACCAACUUACAAAACAAAACAACUUGAAAACAACCGGUUCUGCUCUACUGUCAUAUUCAAUGGCUUGAAUUUUGUUGGCCAGCCUUGCAGCAGCAAGAAGCAAGCAGAGCAGGACGCUGCUUCGGAGGCUCUUCUGUGGUUAAAAGGGAAUACACAUUCAUCUAGCGAUGAUAUUGACCAGCUUCAAUCAUUGCUUGGCAGGGAUCGGCAUAAACCAUCAAAUAAGGCAAAAUGCUCCAAAAGCAGUUCUAUUGAGAGCGGUGAUUGUAAAGACCAGCUGCAAACAUUGCUUGUCAGGGCUGGACAUGAACCACCAACUUACAAAACAAAACAACUGGGAAAUCAGUUCCGCUCUACUGUCAUAUUCAAUGGCUUGAAUUUUGUUGGUCACCCUUGCAACAGCAGGAAACAAGCAGAAAAGGAUGCUGCUGCUGAGGCUCUUUUAUGGUUAAAGGGUGAUCCGCAUUCUAAUCAUAAUGAUGAUGAUCGUAUGGCUUUGCCUUUCAAAAAGGGAAAUAAAAGAAGCAAAUUUUUCUGAAUGGUUCUAGAAGAAGAUGAUGGACCUUCACUUGAUGAGAUCAAGGUCUUGAUUAGAUAACAAGUAUAGCGUUGUAAUUUACAGAGGAAGAACUUGUCUAUGGUGAAGGCUAUCUAUGAUGCACUGGAUGCAAUGUAGUUUGUUUCCAGUGGAUGUCCAAAAAGAGUGUACAGAGCUAUUGAGGAACAAUACUUCGACAGCUACAUCUUUAGCCCUUAUUUUUGUAAAGGGUGAUUGCAUCCAGAAUCUUCCUGGAUUUUAGGCACUUAUCAAUAUUUAUAGAAUUAUUUUGGCCUGAUUUAGGCUGAGGGGUUCGCUGGUUGAGCAACUGCUGCGUGAGGUGUCUUCUGUACUUUUGUGCAUAAUUUCUUGCCAGAAAGGGGAGUAAGCGGCAAUUAUACCAAGAUAUGCUUUUCAGGCUACAGUCCAUGGGAUGUUUGGGAAACAUGUCAUGUAAGCCUUGGGUAUCAGGCCUGCUAAUUAUUGAUUAAAUUAAUAUAAUGUAUAUUAGUAUUAGGACUUAGAAGGGGUGAUGCUCUUGCACGAAGCUGAGAUUGUAAGCCGACUGUGGAAGGCGAUGAUAUGAUGGAAUGAUAGAGAAAGGUAAUCUUUGAAGCCAAUAAACUGAAUGUGGCUCAGUGGAUCUGAAUUGCGAUGACCUGAUUGGGUGUAAUUACAUGUGGAAUCCAAUAUCCAGAAGACUUAUUUAGUGUUUUUGUUUUA
This is an RNA transcript of Prosopis cineraria, 4747 nucleotides long. It is a transcript of the gene named DExH-box ATP-dependent RNA helicase DExH3, with no coding region annotated. NCBI's taxonomy places the organism in Eukaryota, Viridiplantae, Streptophyta, Magnoliopsida, Fabales, Fabaceae. The record is from RefSeq and is a predicted model, not a curated record. The transcript is spliced from 20 exons.